This 491-nucleotide ribosomal RNA is filed under the name uncultured bacterium. RNAcentral's name for it is "partial 16S ribosomal RNA". It matches the Rfam family "Bacterial small subunit ribosomal RNA", at positions 29 to 506 of the family's 1533-position model. The record is from RNAcentral.
AGUGAACGCUGGCGGUAGGCCUAACACAUGCAAGUCGAACGGCAGCACAGUAAGAGCUUGCUCUUACGGGUGGCGAGUGGCGGACGGGUGAGGAAUACAUCGGAAUCUACUUUUUCGUGGGGGAUAACGUAGGGAAACUUACGCUAAUACCGCAUACGACCUACGGGUGAAAGCAGGGGAUCUUCGGACCUUGCGCGAUUGAAUGAGCCGAUGUCGGAUUAGCUAGUUGGCGGGGUAAAGGCCCACCAAGGCGACGAUCCGUAGCUGGUCUGAGAGGAUGAUCAGCCAAUGUGGAACUGACACACGGUCAAGGCUCCUAGGGGGGGGCGAGGUGGGGAAUUUGGGAAAAGGGGCGAAAGUCUGAUCCAGCCAUGCCGGGUGGGUGAAGAAGGCCUUCGGUUUGUAAAGCCCUUUUGUUGGGAAAAAAAAGAGGCAGGUUAAUACCCCGCUGUUCUGACGGUACCAAAAAAAUAAGCACCGGCUAACUGCGU